UUAAGGGAAGCAACCUAAACCUCUCUAAUUAGUUUUUCUUUCUCUCUUUCGUGUGGAGUGGAGAGCCGAAGCGGACGAGCCGCGUAGAGGUAGCCGCGAAGCUCGGAUUCGCCGUCGACGGCGUGCCGCGGAGUCGCUCGAGCUUAUUUUCGACGUCGUGUUGCUGCGAGGAGGCCGGGCGAGUGCGGCUUUUCGCCAUCCUUGAUGUCGUGCUGGUUCUAAGGUAUUUUUUUUUUUUGAAAUGCUUUAUCAGUGGGCAUUCCUCCAAUUACUUCAAUUCCAUCAAUUUCGAGCUCGGGUGCUACUGCUGCAGAUUUCUGCGUCGACUGUCGGUGUUUUGGCUCGUACGCGACGUAGGAGCAUCGGAUUUCGACGAGACUUGGUUCGUUGGAUUCGGGACUUCGAGAGGAAUCCACGAAGCCCUCACUUGCCAGAUUUGGUGAAGGUUAGCUUGGUCGAAUCUCAUUCCUACUCUACUGCUGCAAAUUCUGGACUGAAUCGGUAAUUGGUUGGUGUAGAGCUUGGAGUUAGCGCGAUUCUUGAGAUCGAAGUACUACGAUCGACCCAGCAGGUGGAGCCACAGCUGUGAGAGUGUUUCGCUGCCGGGGAUUUGCGUGCGAG
Molecule: long non-coding RNA, 621 nt
Filed under: Ananas comosus (pineapple)
Lineage: Eukaryota; Viridiplantae; Streptophyta; Magnoliopsida; Poales; Bromeliaceae
Description: long non-coding RNA (ACOM_LNC012373)
Source: RNAcentral